UACACACCGCCCGUCAAGCCAUGGGAGCUGGGAGUACCCGAAACCGCUGUGCCAACCGCAAGGAGGCAGGCGUCUAAGGUAAGACCAGUGACUGGGGCU
RNAcentral lists this ribosomal RNA (99 nucleotides) under uncultured bacterium. RNAcentral's name for it is "partial 16S ribosomal RNA". It matches the Rfam family "Bacterial small subunit ribosomal RNA", at positions 1384 to 1482 of the family's 1533-position model. The record is from RNAcentral.